This 341-nucleotide transfer-messenger RNA is filed under the name bovine gut metagenome. Its description in RNAcentral is "Alphaproteobacteria transfer-messenger RNA". It matches the Rfam family "Alphaproteobacteria transfer-messenger RNA". From Rfam's summary of the family: Bacterial tmRNA, also known as 10Sa RNA or SsrA, is named for its dual tRNA and mRNA-like properties. Its role is to liberate the mRNA from a stalled ribosome. The record is from RNAcentral.
CUUGAAAACAUUAACAACAUGCGGUAUAUUGAUAGUGUUGAGCAAUCAACUGUGACACCAGAGGCUCUGCGAAAUAGAGAUUUCGGACCCGAGGGCAGUACUCGGCACCUCCACCAUUUUUUUGAUUAUACGGGGGUGAAACAGGUUUGACGGGGUUUAGUAAAGGCAGGUGUUGUGUUCGGUGAGAUACCACCGUUAUCGGUUCAAAUUUAAAUAAAUGCUAACGAUAAUGAAUUAGCACCAGUUGCUUUGGCUGCUUAAUUGUAGUCGCAACGAACUCAAAUUCUUGCCGUCUUGGUUGACAGCAAGUGGGGGAUGAGCCACCCAGCAACAGAACGGCU